CACACUAUCAUUAACUGAAUCCAUAGGUUAAUGAGGCGAACCGGGGGAACUGAAACAUCUAAGUACCCCGAGGAAAAGAAAUCAACCGAGAUUCCCCCAGUAGCGGCGAGCGAACGGGGAGCAGCCCAGAGCCUGAAUCAGUGUGUGUGUUAGUGGAAGCGUCUGGAAAGGCGCGCGAUACAGGGUGACAGCCCCGUACACAAAAAUGCACAUGCUGUGAGCUCGAUGAGUAGGGCGGGACACGUGGUAUCCUGUCUGAAUAUGGGGGGACCAUCCUCCAAGGCUAAAUACUCCUGACUGACCGAUAGUGAACCAGUACCGUGAGGGAAAGGCGAAAAGAACCCCGGCGAGGGGAGUGAAAAAGAACCUGAAACCGUGUACGUACAAGCAGUGGGAGCACGCUUCGGCGUGUGACUGCGUACCUUUUGUAUAAUGGGUCAGCGACUUAUAUUCUGUAGCAAGGUUAACCGAAUAGGGGAGCCGAAGGGAAACCGAGUCUUAACUGGGCGUUAAGUUGCAGGG
RNAcentral lists this ribosomal RNA (522 nucleotides) under Shigella dysenteriae. RNAcentral describes it as "bacterial LSU rRNA". It matches the Rfam family "Bacterial large subunit ribosomal RNA", at positions 144 to 707 of the family's 2925-position model. Lineage: Bacteria; Pseudomonadati; Pseudomonadota; Gammaproteobacteria; Enterobacterales; Enterobacteriaceae. The record is from RNAcentral.